ACCAGACUCCUACGGGAGGCAGCAGUGGGGAAUAUUAGACAAUGGGGGAAACCCUGAUCCAGCGACGCCGCGUGAGUGAAGAAGUAUUUCGGUACGUAAAGCUCUAUCAGCAGGAAAGAAAAUGACGGUACCUGACUAAGAAGCCCCGGCUAACUACGUGCCAGCAGCCGCGGUAAUACGUAGGGGGCAAGCGUUAUCCGGAUUUACUGGGUGUAAAGGGAGCGUAGACGGCAGCACAAGUCUGGAGUGAAAUGCCGGGGCUUAACCCCGGAACUGCUUUGGAAACUGUGCAGCUAGAGUACAGGAGAGGGAAGUGGAAUUCCUAGUGUAGCGGUGAAAUGCGUAGAUAUUAGGAGGAACACCAGUGGCGAAGGCGGCUUACUGGACUGUAACUGACGUUGAGGCUCGAAAGCGUGGGGAGCAAACAGGAUUAGAUACCCCUGUACUA
Molecule: ribosomal RNA, 448 nt
Filed under: uncultured bacterium
Lineage: Bacteria
Description: bacterial SSU rRNA
Rfam family: Bacterial small subunit ribosomal RNA
Source: RNAcentral